AGGCGGAUGAUGCAUCUUUCGCCGUUGAAUUAGUGAAUCAGAUACGUCUUAUUCCUCCUCGUGUUCGUCUCGGUGAAGCUCUCUCUCGCAAAUUUUUCAAACUCUUUGCGCCCUCUGUUGUUUCUCCCUUCACCAGAAGAAAGGUUAAACUCGUGGGACCCAGACAUGACGAAUAUUUCAGAAUGUGUGAGAAGAGAACCCAUCACUUUCAGAAGCUCUAGAUCAUGUGGCAGUGCCCACCAACCACUAGAAAGAACAUCCCACGAAUAUUUUUUUUCUUUUCGUAAUUUGUAAAUUACUAAUAAUCAUGUAUGGACACCACAAUCAAAGUAAUAAUGUUUUUUUCUU
Brassica napus (rape) is the source of this 348-nucleotide long non-coding RNA. RefSeq lists it as uncharacterized. The record is from RefSeq and is a predicted model, not a curated record. NCBI's taxonomy places the organism in Eukaryota, Viridiplantae, Streptophyta, Magnoliopsida, Brassicales, Brassicaceae. The transcript has 2 exons.